RNAcentral lists this ribosomal RNA (450 nucleotides) under uncultured bacterium. Its description in RNAcentral is "bacterial SSU rRNA". It matches the Rfam family "Bacterial small subunit ribosomal RNA", at positions 354 to 796 of the family's 1533-position model. The record is from RNAcentral.
GUAAGGAAUAUUGCGCAAUGGACGAAAGUCUGACGCAGCAACGCCGCGUGAGUGAUGAAGAUCUUUGGAUCGUAAAGCUCUUUCAGUGGGGAAGAAAAAUAUAACGAGUAACUGCGUUGUGUCUGACGGUACCCACAGAAGAAGUCCCGGCUAACUCCGUGCCAGCAGCCGCGGUAAUACGGGGGGGACGAGCGUUGUUCGGAUUUACUGGGCGUAAAGGGCGUGUAGGCGGACUUUCAAGUCGGAAGUGAAAACCGGAGGCUUAACCUCAGGCUUGCUUUCGAUACUGUUGGUCUUGAGUGCAGAAGAGGAAAGCGGAAUUCCAGGUGUAGCGGUGAAAUGCGUAGAUAUCUGGAAGAACACCAGUAGCGAAGGCGGCUUUCUGGUCUGACACUGACGCUAAAGCGCGAAGGCUAGGGGAGCAAACAGGAUUAGAUACCCGGGUAGUCC